RNAcentral lists this ribosomal RNA (253 nucleotides) under uncultured bacterium. Its description in RNAcentral is "partial 16S ribosomal RNA". It matches the Rfam family "Bacterial small subunit ribosomal RNA", at positions 524 to 776 of the family's 1533-position model. The record is from RNAcentral.
UACGAAGGGGGCUAGCGUUGUUCGGAAUUACUGGGCGUAAAGCGCACGUAGGCGGAUCGAUCAGUCAGGGGUGAAAUCCCAGAGCUCAACUCUGGAACUGCCUUUGAUACUGUCGGUCUAGAGUAUGGAAGAGGUGAGUGGAAUUCCGAGUGUAGAGGUGAAAUUCGUAGAUAUUCGGAGGAACACCAGUGGCGAAGGCGGCUCACUGGUCCAUUACUGACGCUGAGGCACGAAAGCGUGGGGAGCAAACAGG